This 429-nucleotide ribosomal RNA is filed under the name Gemmatimonadota bacterium. RNAcentral's name for it is "Gemmatimonadetes bacterium partial 16S ribosomal RNA". It matches the Rfam family "Bacterial small subunit ribosomal RNA", at positions 355 to 776 of the family's 1533-position model. Lineage: Bacteria; Pseudomonadati; Gemmatimonadota. The record is from RNAcentral.
UAGGGAAUCUUCGGCAAUGGACGAAAGUCUGACCGAGCAACGCCGCGUGAGUGAAGAAGGUUUUCGGAUCGUAAAACUCUGUUGUUAGAGAAGAACAAGGACGUUAGUAACUGAACGUCCCCUGACGGUAUCUAACCAGAAAGCCACGGCUAACUACGUGCCAGCAGCCGCGGUAAUACGUAGGUGGCAAGCGUUGUCCGGAUUUAUUGGGCGUAAAGCGAGCGCAGGCGGUUUCUUAAGUCUGAUGUGAAAGCCCCCGGCUCAACCGGGGAGGGUCAUUGGAAACGGGGAGACUGGAGUGCAGAAGAGGAGAGUGGAAUUCCAGGUGUAGCGGUGAAAUGCGUAGAUAUAGGGAGGAACACCAGUGGCGAAGGCGGCUCUCUGGUCUGUAACUGACGCUGAGGCUCGAAAGCGUGGGGAGCAAACAGG